UACGGGGGGAGCAAGCGUUGUUCGGAUUUACUGGGCGUAAAGGGCGCGUAGGCGGCGUGACAAGUCACUUGUGAAAUCUCCGGGCUUAACUCGGAACGGUCAAGUGAUACUGUCGUGCUAGAGUACAGAAGGGGCAACUGGAAUUCUCGGUGUGGCGGUGAAAUGCGUAGAUAUCGAGAGGAACACCUGCGGCGAAGGCGGGUUGCUGGGCUGAUACUGACGCUGAGGCGCGAAAGCCAGGGGAGCGAACGGG
RNAcentral lists this ribosomal RNA (253 nucleotides) under uncultured bacterium. RNAcentral describes it as "partial 16S ribosomal RNA". It matches the Rfam family "Bacterial small subunit ribosomal RNA", at positions 524 to 776 of the family's 1533-position model. The record is from RNAcentral.